GGGAUGAUCUUCAUUUCAGCUUCAGUGAUAUUUGGAUACCAUCGGUGGAUUGAGAGCAUCCAGUAAUUGAAACUCCACGGACCGCGGCUAAGCACAAGGGUCAUCGCUUCUUCUGUCUGAAACUUAAACUGGACUUUGCCUCUGUCCAGAAUCCGACCAACACACGAAUCAGGGAAACCCAGACCCUUGGCAUCUGCCCUAUCAAAGCACGGAGAUUCUGUUUACGAGGGUUCACCGUCGUCACAACAAGGGAAAAGCGGUUCACAUGAGCGGCUUGUGAACAAAAUUCCGGUGUGAGAGCCACCGGUUCAUCAUCAAUUCCCAGAGUCAAGUCUUGAACCGAUUUUCGAAGUUUGUCACUCAUGAUUACGGAUGAAUUUGUUUAAGGUGAAGUGGAUUGAGAUUGUGGAACUAGAAGAGAAGAAAGGA
This 429-nucleotide small RNA is filed under the name Arabidopsis thaliana (thale cress). RNAcentral describes it as "ATSL030080". The record is from RNAcentral. Lineage: Eukaryota; Viridiplantae; Streptophyta; Magnoliopsida; Brassicales; Brassicaceae.